AGCAGCCGCGGUAAUUCCAGCUCCAAUAGCGUAUAUUAAAGUUGUUGCAGUUAAAAAGCUCGUAGUUGAAUUUCGGGAUUGGCGCAUCGGUCGUGCCUUACGGGGUAUGAACUGGUGCAGUCAAUUUCUCACCUUCUGGAGAACCGCGAUGUCCUUAAUUGGGUGCCGCGGGGAACCAGGACCUUUACUUUGAAAAAAUUAGAGUGUUUAAAGCAGGCAUUUUUGCUUGAAUACAUUAGCAUGGAAUAAUAAAAUAGGACGGCAUGGUUCUAUUUUGUUGGUUUCUAGGACCACCGUAAUGAUUAAUAGGGAUAGUUGGGGGCAUUAGUAUUCAAUUGUCAGAGGUGAAAUUCUUGGAUUUAUUGAAGACUAACUACUGCGAAAGCAUUUGCCAAGGAUGUUUUCAUUAAUCAAGAACGAAAGUUAGGGGAUCGAAGACGAUCAGAUACCGUCGUAGUCUUAACCAUAAACUAUAGCCGACUAGGAAUCAGACGAUGUUAAUUUUUAAUGACUCGUUUGG
RNAcentral lists this ribosomal RNA (520 nucleotides) under uncultured Entrophospora. RNAcentral's name for it is "SSU rRNA". It matches the Rfam family "Eukaryotic small subunit ribosomal RNA", at positions 569 to 1083 of the family's 1831-position model. The record is from RNAcentral. Lineage: Eukaryota; Fungi; Glomeromycota; Glomeromycetes; Entrophosporales; Entrophosporaceae.